GCUGGCGGCGCGCCUAACACAUGCAAGUCGAACGAGAAAGUCCGCAAGGAUGAGUAAAGUGGCGUACGGGUGAGUAACACGUGGAUAACCUGCCCUUUAGUGGGGAAUACCGCUGGGAAACCGGCGACAAUACCGCAUAAGCUCGAGAGAGGAAAGCAGCAAUGCGCUGAAGGAGGGGUCCGCGGCCGAUUAGCUAGUUGGCAGGGUAAAAGCCUACCAAGGCUGUGAUCGGUAGCCGGCCUGAGAGGGCACACGGCCACACUGGCACUGAAACACGGGCCAGACUCCUACGGGAGGCAGCAGUGGGGAAUCUUGCACAAUGGGGGAAACCCUGAUGCAGCGACGCCGCGUGAGCGAUGAAGCCCUUCGGGGUGUAAAGCUCUUUCGGCAGGGACGAUUAUGACGGUACCUGCAGAAGCAGCUGCGGCUAACUACGUGCCAGCAGCCGCGGUAAUACGUAGGCAGCAAGCGUUGUUCGGAGUUACUGGGCGUAAAGGGUGCGUANGCGGCUUCUUAAGUCUGGUGUGAAAUCUCCCGGCUCAACUGGGAGGGUGCGCCGGAUACUGAGGGGCUAAAGUGUGGGAGAGGAAAGUGGAAUUCCUGGUGUA
Molecule: ribosomal RNA, 608 nt
Filed under: uncultured bacterium
Lineage: Bacteria
Description: bacterial SSU rRNA
Rfam family: Bacterial small subunit ribosomal RNA
Source: RNAcentral